Molecule: ribosomal RNA, 468 nt
Filed under: uncultured bacterium
Lineage: Bacteria
Description: partial 16S ribosomal RNA
Rfam family: Bacterial small subunit ribosomal RNA
Source: RNAcentral
GACGAACGCUGGCGGCGUGCUUAACACAUGCAAGUCGAACGGAAAGGCCCUGCUUUUGUGGGGUGCUCGAGUGGCGAACGGGUGAGUAACACGUGAGUAACCUGCCCUUGACUUUGGGAUAACUUCAGGAAACUGGGGCUAAUACCGGAUAGGAGCUCCUGCUGCAUGGUGGGGGUUGGAAAGUUUCGGCGGUUGGGGAUGGACUGGCGGCUUAUCAGCUUGUUGGUGGGGUAGUGGCUUACCAAGGCUUUGACGGGUAGCCGGCCUGAGCGGGUGACCGGCCACACUGGGCCUGGGAUACGGCCCAGCCUCCUACGGGAGGCAGCAGUGGGGAAUAUUGCACAAUGGGCGGAAGCCUGAUGCAGCAACGCCGCGUGCGGGAUGACGGCCUUCGGGUUGUAAACCGCUUUCGCCUGUGACGAAGCGUGAGUGACGGUAAUGGGUAAAGAAGCACCGGCUAACUACGUG